Molecule: long non-coding RNA, 473 nt
Organism: Gadus morhua (Atlantic cod)
Lineage: Eukaryota; Metazoa; Chordata; Actinopteri; Gadiformes; Gadidae
Exons: 4
Source: RefSeq, a predicted model, not a curated record
CUCCAUAUUCCUCAGUUCCUACUGUGUCUUUCACGGUAGAGGCUACACUAUCAAAGCCUUUCACUGCAGAGUUAACAAACCAAACGACUGCAGAGUUUCAAGAACUGCAAACAACUGUUGUGACAUCUUGCGAUGCGAUCUUCCAGGAGGCCUAUGGGUCGGUUUUCAUCACCACUAUUGUCCUUGGAUUCAGCCCGUCCAUCGAUGGAAACACUACAAUAGAGGUGGAGCUUGUUUUCAAUAACACAGCAUCACCUGAAGUGACCGUUUCAACUGCCGAUGUACUGGAGACCAUGACGACGGCAGCAACCAACACCUCCGCUGGCGGAUUCUCCUUUGAUCCUGAAUCUAUUGUUGUCACAGAAACGCCAACCUCAACGACAGCACCAACAACAACUACGGCAACUCCAGAACCCUCAGUUCCUACUGUGUCUUUCACGGUAGAGGCUACAAUAAUAAAGCCUUUCACUGCA